Long non-coding RNA from Carassius auratus (goldfish), 669 nucleotides. RefSeq lists it as uncharacterized. The record is from RefSeq and is a predicted model, not a curated record. The transcript has 3 exons. Lineage: Eukaryota; Metazoa; Chordata; Actinopteri; Cypriniformes; Cyprinidae.
CCUCUGGUGACCACGGGGGCCCUAAGCAGCCGCUUAGCUUCUGCAUUGGGCCGGCUCUGUACAGAAAGCACAUCUCUUCAGCUCUCUCUCCCUCACAGAUGCACAUACAGUUUGCACACACGUUAACAUACAGUCUAGUCGACUUUCAGAUUUGGCUCCAGCAUAUAGCAUAAAUGCAUAAAAGACUAAUAGCGUUUGUCCACCAAAGAUUUUCCAGCCAGCUGAAAAAAAGUAGGGGGAGGCUGCAGACCUGGAGCUGGUAGAUAUAGGCCCCAAGCAGUUUUAAGCCCCUGUUGUUCCUCAUGCGUCCAAUAGGGGGAGGCUGUAUAUUAGUAUAUGUGCCUAGUCAUCAAAACAGCAGACCAUAUCUGUAUGAUAGCAGCAGAAAUUUUUUGAAGCGAUACGAAUUGAGCUUGCGUGACAUGGCUUCUUCUGGGGAAGAAAUAAUAUCUAUACAGAGAGGUUGCAACUUACCUGCGCUUAACAGAUGCACCUCCUGCUGUUCCCUAUUUCACUGUCCUUUCUGUAAUUCUGAUUUUUUUUCAAGCCCUCAAAGAAAAGUAAAGUAUAAACUCAUCUUAAGCUUCACUUUUCUAGGGCAGUCGUCCAUGAAGGUAGCAUCAUUUAUGAUUGAUUUUUAUUUUAUUUUUUUCUAAAAAUGUAAUGAAU